Molecule: ribosomal RNA, 517 nt
Filed under: uncultured bacterium
Lineage: Bacteria
Description: bacterial SSU rRNA
Rfam family: Bacterial small subunit ribosomal RNA
Source: RNAcentral
AGAGUUGAUCUGGCUCAGAUGAACGCUGGCGGCAGGCCUAACACAUGCAAGUCGGACGGUAGCACAGAGAGCUUGCUCUUGGGUGACGAGUGGCGGACGGGUGAGUAAUGUCUGGGGAUCUGCCCGAUAGAGGGGGAUAACCACUGGAAACGGUGGCUAAUACCGCAUAACGUCGCAAGACCAAAGAGGGGGACCUUCGGGCCUCUCACUAUCGGAUGAACCCAGAUGGGAUUAGCUAGUAGGCGGGGUAAUGGCCCACCUAGGCGACGAUCCCUAGCUGGUCUGAGAGGAUGACCAGCCACACUGGAACUGAGACACGGUCCAGACUCCUACGGGAGGCAGCAGUGGGGAAUAUUGCACAAUGGGCGCAAGCCUGAUGCAGCCAUUGCCGCGUGUAUGAAGAAGGCCUUCGGGUUGUAAAGUACUUUCAGCGGGGAGGAAGGCGGUGAGGUUAAUAACCUUACCGAUUGACGUUACCCGCAGAAGAAGCACCGGCUAACUCCGUGCCAGCCGCCGC